Molecule: ribosomal RNA, 58 nt
Filed under: Eimeria kofoidi
Lineage: Eukaryota; Apicomplexa; Conoidasida; Eucoccidiorida; Eimeriidae
Also listed under: 2 other names
Description: small subunit ribosomal RNA
Source: RNAcentral
CCAGUACACCUAGCCAACACGAUCCAAUUGCCUGGGUUAUUUUUGUGCUACAAAAACC